AUGCUCACUUUGGCAGCACACGUACUAAAAUUAGGACGAUGCAGAGAAGAUUAGCAUGGCCCCUGUGCAAGGAGAGCAUGCAAAAUUCGUGAAGCGUUCCAUAUUUUU
Small nuclear RNA from Psammomys obesus (fat sand rat), 108 nucleotides. The record is from RefSeq and is a predicted model, not a curated record. Lineage: Eukaryota; Metazoa; Chordata; Mammalia; Rodentia; Muridae.